UGAAGGGGAGGCAGGCGGGUCCAAGAAGAGAUUACGUGAGGCACAGCUGUUCGCUUCCUUUUCAGGAGAAGCGGUGAUGUUUCCUCAGUGAUUUGCCUCUAGUCAGAUAAACACAGCUGGUGGUAAGAGAUUCAUGAGGCCGGGCAGAGCUACACAUCUGCCCGAAAGAGGAAGGCAAGUACUGUACAAGCUAUGGUGCUCAUCUCAAGGAUUUUAUUUCUCAAGCUGAGACAGCAUAAAGACACACUGAAGAUAAAUCAUGGACCAUAUAACAAGAACAGGUGAAGACAUGCUGAUAUGAAAAUAACACAGAAGGUAAGAAAUCGUUUCGGUUUUCCUUUCUCAGUGUUUCUAUUUCAUAUCUUCUCAGUAAGUCAAACUGUGUGACUCCAGCGUUCUUAUUAAAUGCAGUGGUAGGGAGUUGAAGAAUAUGACGAUGGACAUGCAUUUGCUGCUUAAAGUAGAGAUGUCUGAGACACUAGUGAAGUUUUUGAUCAUGGUACAUUCAAGCUCCCCUUUUUAUGUUUAUGAACUGUAUACUACAUGUUCUUAUUGUCACCUGAAGAUGGAGAAGAAAAGGAGAAAGGUACAGCACAGGCAAAGCAGAAGAAAUAACAAAUGGAACAAAGCUCAAACAUACAGGAAAGAACAGUAAUAGUGAGAUUUUAUAUGAUGUUUUCCAUCUUGAGUAUGUCAUAAACUGAAAUUAGUAAUAACUGUAAACUAGCUGUUAUUUCCCUCACCAGACUGGAACUCAAUGAAUGGUGGUACUAUAAAAUCAUUAUAGUACUUUAAGAGCAUUUCCAGACAUACUGAUUCACCAGAACCUGAACUGUGUGCAGUUCUGGGUGCCACAAUGUAAGAAAGAUUUAAAACUACUGGAGAGCAUCCCAAGAAGGGCAACAAAGGUGCUGAAGGAUGUAGAGGGCAAGACAUAUGAGGGGCAGCUGAUGCUCCUGGUCUGUUCAGCCCAGAGGACGGGAGGCUGAUCUCAAAUGUUGUCCUGCGAUAACACAGCAUCAUCACCAGCUUCAGAGUGUGAUGAGACUCCUGAGUGUCAUUGGCUGACUUUGUCCAUGAGAAAGCUGAAUAAAUAAUUUGGGCCUGUCCAGUCCCAUUCUUUCCUGUUUCUUUUAUAUGUUUUCUCUACACUAUUGUUUUAUAACCUUGAAAUUUGCAGUAAUCUUUCAGAAAGCCCUAACAUAUACUGCAUGUUUUGUAUGAAAUUUGUCUAGCUUUUUCUAGUUACAAUAGUUGCUUGUUCUGUUG
RNAcentral lists this long non-coding RNA (1269 nucleotides) under Gallus gallus (chicken). Its description in RNAcentral is "lncRNA (ENSGALG00010008909.1)". Lineage: Eukaryota; Metazoa; Chordata; Aves; Galliformes; Phasianidae. The record is from RNAcentral.